RNAcentral lists this ribosomal RNA (529 nucleotides) under Paecilomyces maximus. RNAcentral's name for it is "partial large subunit ribosomal RNA". It matches the Rfam family "Eukaryotic large subunit ribosomal RNA", at positions 95 to 639 of the family's 3401-position model. Lineage: Eukaryota; Fungi; Ascomycota; Eurotiomycetes; Eurotiales; Thermoascaceae. The record is from RNAcentral.
GAAGCGGCAAGAGCUCAAAUUUGAAAUCUGGCCCCUCCGGGGUCCGAGUUGUAAUUUGCAGAGGAUGCUUCGGGUGCGGUCCCCGUCUAAGUACCCUGGAACGGGUCGUCAUAGAGGGUGAGAAUCCCGUCUGGGACGGGUGGCCGCGUCCGUGUGAAGCUCCUUCGACGAGUCGAGUUGUUUGGGAAUGCAGCUCUAAAUGGGUGGUAAAUUUCAUCUAAAGCUAAAUAUUGGCCGGAGACCGAUAGCGCACAAGUAGAGUGAUCGAAAGAUGAAAAGCACUUUGAAAAGAGAGUUAAACAGCACGUGAAAUUGUUGAAAGGGAAGCGCUUGCGACCAGACUCGCCCGCGGGGGUUCAGCCGGUACUCGUACCGGUGUACUCCCCCGCGGGCGGGCCAGCGUCGGUUUGGGCGGCCGGUCAAAGGCCCCCGGAAUGUAUCGCCCUUCGGGGCGUCUUAUAGCCGGGGGUGCAAUGCGGCCAGCCUGGACCGAGGAACGCGCUUCGGCUCGGACGCUGGCGUAAUGGUC